GAUCCUGGCUCAGGACGAACGCUGGCGGCGUGCUUAACACAUGCAAGUCGAACGAGAGGACAAGAGAAGCUUGCUUCUUUUGGAAUCGAGUGGCGAACGGGUGAGUAACACGUAAACAACCUGCCUUCAGGAUGGGGACAACAGACGGAAACGACUGCUAAUACCGAAUACGCUUGGGAGACCGCAUGAUCUUCCAAGGAAAGGGUGGCCUCUACCUGUAAGCUAUCGCCUGAAGAGGGGUUUGCGU
Molecule: ribosomal RNA, 247 nt
Filed under: uncultured bacterium
Lineage: Bacteria
Description: partial 16S ribosomal RNA
Rfam family: Bacterial small subunit ribosomal RNA
Source: RNAcentral